UUUUUCCGGUCUCCUCCUUUCCUAGCUUUUCCGGUCCGGUUCUCUCCUUGCUUUUCCGGUUCGGUUCCGUCUUGCUCUUUGCUUUUCCGGUUCGGUUUCGUCCGGUUCGGUUUUGGCUUGUUGGUUCUUUCUUGGUUUGGGAUGAUGAUGAUUUGUGGUUGUAUGAAUGGUUUGAGUGUUUGAUUUGAAAAAGUAUUGGAAAAGUAAAAAAUAAGUGUUUGUGAAUUGCUGCUGAUUUUCUGUGAACAGUGAUUUUCUGGCCCAUUUCCCAAUGAUUGACAGGGUUUUUAUAGUGACAAACUAGGGUUGGCUCUGGUACAAAACAAAGACCAAAAUGCCCCUGCAGCUGAGACUUGGAAAAAAAGAUUU
RNAcentral lists this long non-coding RNA (369 nucleotides) under Medicago truncatula (barrel medic). RNAcentral describes it as "lncRNA gene31428". The record is from RNAcentral. Lineage: Eukaryota; Viridiplantae; Streptophyta; Magnoliopsida; Fabales; Fabaceae.